GCCGCCGUAACGUAGUCUGGCAGCGUACAGGCCUGUGGAGCCUGGAGGCCGGGUUCAAAUCCCGGCGGCGGCC
Molecule: non-coding RNA, 73 nt
Organism: Candidatus Bathyarchaeota archaeon B26-1
Lineage: Archaea; Thermoproteati; Candidatus Bathyarchaeota
Source: Rfam